This 85-nucleotide transfer RNA is filed under the name Paramecium bursaria Chlorella virus Fr5L. RNAcentral's name for it is "tRNA-Tyr". It matches the Rfam family "tRNA". Rfam says of the family: Transfer RNA (tRNA) molecules are approximately 80 nucleotides in length. Lineage: Varidnaviria; Bamfordvirae; Nucleocytoviricota; Megaviricetes; Algavirales; Phycodnaviridae. The record is from RNAcentral.
CUCGCCAUAGCUCAAUUGGAAGAGCGAAGGACUGUAAUUGUCUAUUGUCAUCCUUAGGUACCUGGAUCGAAACCGGGUGGUGAGA